CAGCAGCCACGGGAAUACGGAGGAUCCAAGCGUUAUCCGGAUUUAUUGGGUUUAAAGGGUGCGUAGGCGGCCUAUUAAGUCAGGGGUGAAAGACGGUAGCUCAACUAUCGCAGUGCCUUUGAUACUGAUGGGCUUGAAUGUACUUGAGGUAGGCGGAAUGUGACAAGUAGCGGUGAAAUGCAUAGAUAUGUCACAGAACACCAAUUGCGAAGGCAGCUUACUAAAGUAUGAUUGACGCUGAGGCACGAAAGCGUGGGGAUCAAACAGGAUUAGAUACCCGCGUAGUCCCUGUCUCUUAUAC
This 301-nucleotide ribosomal RNA is filed under the name uncultured bacterium. Its description in RNAcentral is "partial 16S ribosomal RNA". It matches the Rfam family "Bacterial small subunit ribosomal RNA", at positions 509 to 807 of the family's 1533-position model. The record is from RNAcentral.